UACGGGGGGUGCGAGCGUUGUCCGGAAUUACUGGGCGUAAAGCGUGCGUAGGUGGUUUGUUAAGUCUGAUGUGAAAGCCCUGGGCUCAACCUGGGAAUUGCAUUGGAUACUGGCAGGCUAGAGUGCGGUAGAGGGUAGUGGAAUUCCCGGUGUAGCAGUGAAAUGCGUAGAGAUCGGGAGGAACAUCUGUGGCGAAGGCGACUACCUGGACCAGCACUGACACUGAGGCACGAAAGCGUGGGGAGCAAACAGG
Molecule: ribosomal RNA, 253 nt
Filed under: uncultured bacterium
Lineage: Bacteria
Description: partial 16S ribosomal RNA
Rfam family: Bacterial small subunit ribosomal RNA
Source: RNAcentral